This 239-nucleotide unclassified non-coding RNA is filed under the name rhizosphere metagenome. RNAcentral describes it as "partial ribosomal RNA internal transcribed spacer region". The record is from RNAcentral.
GUAGGUGAACCUGCGGAAGGAUCAUUAUUGAAUUUACAAUUGGGUUGCUGCUGGCCUUUAGAGGCAUGUGCACACCCUUUUUAAACUCUCCAUCCCUGUGCACACCCUGUAGGCUGAAAUUAAAACUCCAGCCUAUGUCUUUCACACACUAUAAAAAGUAUCAGAAUGUUGAAUUGCUUUGGCCUUUAAAAAGUCAAAUUAAAUCUAUACAACUUUUAGCAAUGGAUCUCUUGGCUCUC